CGCUUCGCCCGCCGCGUGCUACGCCCCGCUGGCCACAUGGGCGGCGCUGCCUCAGGUCAGGCUCCCUGUCGUCACUUUAGGGGCGCAUGGGACAGAGGGGCUUGUGGGGUGUUCAGAAUCUGUUUCCACAGGCGUCUCACCCUUCUGCACACCCUGGGGGUCCAGCUCCCUGUUCUUGAUUAUCUCAAAAUGGCCGUAAAGUGGACAGCUGCCCGGAAGUACCCCAUGUCCUCUGAGAUAAGGUCAGGCUGGCUUACGCUGCCUGAGCUGGGGUUCCCCUCCUGCAACGCAACUGUAGGUCAGGGUAGGUGUCCCCCAAAGGCCCGUUCAUCAGCCAGUGUGGAGCCUGUAGAGGCGGGGCCUGGCAGGAGGAAGUGAAGUCAUGGGGGCGAGGCCUUGAAGGGCUACUGAGGCCCCACUUUGCUCCCUUCUGCUUCCCGUCUGCCAGGAGGUGAGCAGCUCUCUGGGCUGUGGCUUCCCAUCAUGGUGCUCUGUCUUCCCACAGGUUCAAGGCCGUGGGACCAAGAUAGCAAGCACUGAACCUCUGGAACUGUGAGCUACAGGAAACCUUCCCUGUGUUUGACCCAGGCCAAACUGCUCUACCCCUGCUGCACCCCAGUUCCCCCUUAUAUGUUUAAGUCCCUUUCUCUCAGUGUUUGAAGCAUUAACAGGAAGCUAACACAGCGGCUCACUCUGCUCAGGUGACCCUCCUCAUACUGCCUGGGGGUGAUAUGUGAUGUGAUAAAAAACUAUGGUGAAUUUUAAAUUUAAAAAAAAUUAUCAGUAAAAGACACAUUGCCAUGAAUUCCCCUAACCCCCCCACACACACCCGCGCCCACCACACUUAUCCCAUUGACACUUCCUGCAGCGGCUCUGAAGUCCUCUCUCCUGAGCGUCUUGAGUGGUGCUGUCCUGGCUCCCUCCAUGUCCUGAGUGGGUUCAAGCUGCUGACCUCUCCUGGUGAUUUUGAUUGCACGGUGCCGGAUCCGGUGAAUAAGGCGGAUGAGGACACAGCCUCGUGUUUUUACGAG
RNAcentral lists this long non-coding RNA (1031 nucleotides) under Heterocephalus glaber (naked mole-rat). RNAcentral's name for it is "lncRNA (ENSHGLG00000035282.1)". Lineage: Eukaryota; Metazoa; Chordata; Mammalia; Rodentia; Bathyergidae. The record is from RNAcentral.